RNAcentral lists this ribosomal RNA (36 nucleotides) under Prunus avium (sweet cherry). RNAcentral describes it as "partial 26S ribosomal RNA". The record is from RNAcentral. Lineage: Eukaryota; Viridiplantae; Streptophyta; Magnoliopsida; Rosales; Rosaceae.
CGACCCCAGGUCAGGCGGGGUUACCCGCUGAGUUUA